CCUCCGAGACGGAUCCCGAGUACCGCGGGACACGAGAAACCCCGUGGGAAUCCGGCAGGACCAUCUGCCAAGGCUAAAUACUCCCUGGCGACCGAUAGUGAAGCAGUACCGUGAGGGAAAGGUGAAAAGCACCGCGGGAGCGGAGUGAAAAAGAACCUGAAACCGUGCGCUUACAAGAAGUCAGAGCCCGAUCUAGGGGUGAUGGCGUGCCUUUUGUAGAAUGAACCGGCGAGUUACGUUUACGUGCGAGGUUAAGUCGGAGAGACGGAGCCGCAGCGAAAGCGAGUCUGAAUAGGGCGCUUUAGUACGUAGUCGUAGACCCGAAACCGGGUGAUCUACCCCUGUGCAGGGUGAAGGUGAGGUAACACUUACUGGAGGCCCGAACUCGUGAGCGUUGAAAAGCUCUGGGAUGACGUGGGGGUAGGGGAGAAAUUCCAAUCGAACUCGGAGAUAGCUGGUUCUCCCCGAAAUAGCUUUAGGGCUAGCCUCGAGAUUUAGCAUCAUGGAGGUAGAGCACUGAUUGGGUGCGGGGCCCGCCAAGGGUUACCAAGUCCAGUCAAACUCCGAAUGCCAUGGAUGUAUGCUCGGGAGUCAGACGGCGAGUGCUAAGAUCCGUCGUCAAGAGGGAAAGAGCCCAGAUCAUCAGCUAAGGUCCCCAAGUGUGUGUUAAGUGGGAAAGGAUGUGGAGUUGCGAAGACAACCAGGAUGUUGGCUUAGAAGCAGCCACCAUUUAAAGAGUGCGUAAUAGCUCACUGGUCGAGUGACUCUGCGCCGAAAAUGUAACGGGGCUAAACACACCACCGAAGCUAUGGCAUGUACACUUUGUGUACUUGGGUAGGGGAGCGUUGAAUGCGGGUUGAAGUCGGACCGAGAGGACCGGUGGACUGCAUUCAAGUGAGAAUGCCGGUAUGAGUAACGAAAAGACAGGUGAGAAUCCUGUCCGCCGAAAGCCUAAGGGUUCCUGAGGAAGGUUCGUCCGCUCAGGGUAAGUCGGGACCUAAGGCGAGGCCGAAAGGCGUAGUCGAAGGACAACAGGUUGAAAUUCCUGUACCACCGUAAUCCGUUAUGAGCAAUGGGGGGACGCAGGAGGGCAAGAACGCGAGCUGAUGGAAUAGCUCGUCCAAGCAGUAAGGGGUGCAUGUAGGCAAAUCCGCAUGCUUUAACCUUGAGCUGUGAUGGGGAGGGAAAAUUACAGUACCGAAGGUUCCGUGCUCACGCUGCCGAGAAAAGCCUCUAGCCAGGAGAAGGUGCCCGUACCGCAAACCGACACAGGUAGGCGAGAAGAGAAUUCUAAGGCGCGCGGAAGAACUCUCGUUAAGGAACUCGGCAAAAUGACCCCGUAACUUCGGGAGAAGGGGUGCCUCGGUAGGGUGAAUAGCCCGAGGGGGCCGCAGUGAAUAGGCCCAAGCGACUGUUUAGCAAAAACACAGGUCUGUGCGAAGCCGUAAGGCGAAGUAUACGGGCUGACGCCUGCCCGGUGCUGGAAGGUUAAGGGGAGCGGUUAGGGGCAACCCGAAGCUGUGAACCGAAGCCCCAGUAAACGGCGGCCGUAACUAUAACGGUCCUAAGGUAGCGAAAUUCCUUGUCAGGUAAAUUCUGACCCGCACGAAUGGCGUAACGACUUGGGCGCUGUCUCAACGAGAGAUCCGGUGAAAUUUUAGUACCUGUGAAGAUGCAGGUUACCCGCGACGUGACGGAAAGACCCCAUGGAGCUUUACUGUAGCUUGAUAUUGAACUUGGGUACGGUCUGUACAGGAUAGGUGGGAGCCUAGGAAGUUGGAGCGCAAGCUUCAAUGGAGGCGCCGUUGGGAUACCACCCUGAUCGUAUCUAGGUUCUAACCUGUCACCGUGAAUCCGGUGAAGGGACCGUGUCAGGCGGACAGUUUGACUGGGGCGGUCGCCUCCUAAAGCGUAACGGAGGCGCCCCAAGGUUCCCUCAGAAUGGUUGGAAAUCAUUCGAAGAGUGCAAAGGCAUAAGGGAGCUUGACUGCGAGACCUACAAGUCGAGCAGGGACGAAAGUCGGGCUUAGUGAUCCGGUGGUACCGAAUGGAAGGGCCAUCGCUCAACGGAUAAAAGCUACCCUGGGGAUAACAGGCUUAUCUCCCCCAAGAGUCCACAUCGACGGGGAGGUUUGGCACCUCGAUGUCGGCUCAUCGCAUCCUGGGGCUGAAGUAGGUCCCAAGGGUUGGGCUGUUCGCCCAUUAAAGCGGUACGCGAGCUGGGUUCAGAACGUCGUGAGACAGUUCGGUCCCUAUCUGUCGCGGGCGUAGGAAAUUUGAGAGGGGCUGUCCUUAGUACGAGAGGACCGGGAUGGACGCACCGCUGGUGUACCAGUUGUUCCGCCAGGAGCAUCGCUGGGUAGCCAAGUGCGGGAGGGAUAAGCGCUGAAAGCAUCUAAGCGCGAAGCCCGCCUCAAGAUGAGAUUUCCCAGUAUGUAAGACCCCUUGGAGAACACGAGGUUGAUAGGCUCGGGGUGUAAGC
RNAcentral lists this ribosomal RNA (2482 nucleotides) under Cohnella sp. OV312. Its description in RNAcentral is "bacterial LSU rRNA". It matches the Rfam family "Bacterial large subunit ribosomal RNA", at positions 393 to 2874 of the family's 2925-position model. Lineage: Bacteria; Bacillati; Bacillota; Bacilli; Caryophanales; Paenibacillaceae. The record is from RNAcentral.